GACGAACGCUGGCGGCGUGCCUAAUACAUGCAAGUAGAACGCUGAAGGAGGAGCUUGCUUCUCCGGAUGAGUUGCGAACGGGUGAGUAACGCGUAGGUAACCUGCCUGGUAGCGGGGGAUAACUAUUGGAAACGAUAGCUAAUACCGCAUAACAGUAGAUAUUGCAUGACAUUUGCUUAAAAGGUGCAAUUGCAUCACUACCAGAUGGACCUGCGUUGUAUUAGCUAGUUGGUGAGGUAACGGCUCACCAAGGCGACGAUACAUAGCCGACCUGAGAGGGUGAUCGGCCACACUGGGACUGAGACACGGCCCAGACUCCUACGGGAGGCAGCAGUAGGGAAUCUUCGGCAAUGGACGGAAGUCUGACCGAGCAACGCCGCGUGAGUGAAGAAGGUUUUCGGAUCGUAAAGCUCUGUUGUAAGAGAAGAACGAGUGUGAGAGUGGAAAGUUCACAGG
This 456-nucleotide ribosomal RNA is filed under the name Streptococcus mitis. RNAcentral describes it as "bacterial SSU rRNA". It matches the Rfam family "Bacterial small subunit ribosomal RNA", at positions 28 to 470 of the family's 1533-position model. The record is from RNAcentral. Lineage: Bacteria; Bacillati; Bacillota; Bacilli; Lactobacillales; Streptococcaceae.